This 72-nucleotide transfer RNA is filed under the name Dermacentor andersoni. RNAcentral's name for it is "transfer RNA glycine (anticodon GCC)". It matches the Rfam family "tRNA". Rfam says of the family: Transfer RNA (tRNA) molecules are approximately 80 nucleotides in length. Lineage: Eukaryota; Metazoa; Arthropoda; Arachnida; Ixodida; Ixodidae. The record is from RNAcentral.
GCGUCGGUGGUUCAGUGGUAGAAUACUCGCCUGCCACGCGGGUGGCCCGGGUUCGAUUACCCGGCCAACGCA